Non-coding RNA from Camellia sinensis, 854 nucleotides. NCBI's taxonomy places the organism in Eukaryota, Viridiplantae, Streptophyta, Magnoliopsida, Ericales, Theaceae. The record is from RefSeq and is a predicted model, not a curated record.
GCUCGACGGCGACGAUCACCAACACUCCUACUAAAGAUCUUCUCACUGUUGUUGCGACCGAUUCCAUCUCCAUUCUCGUUGAAGCUGUUACAAAGAAGUUUCUAGAACUCUGUGGAGAACAUAUGGAUCUUGCAUCAACAACAGCGAUGUGAACGACAUGUUCACCCAGGCGCCUUCCUUCGGGAUCAAAUCCAGCUCCGGCAAGGUUGACGCAUCACAACCAGCCUAAGUGUUUGAGAAAAAGUUUAAGAGACAUAAAGAGCUUCUCAAGAACCUCACUGAAGCUACUGUGUAGCCCAACUGUUCAAGUGUUAUGAAUUUUCAAUCUAUGGUACUCUUUUGAAUAUUUAGAUAGGGUUGAGAUAAUAGUUGCCCAUAUGGUGGGUGGAGUUGAUGCUUCCCUUAAGAUGUCUCAAGGUUGGCCAGUGUCAAAUCAUGCAUUAAAGUUGAUAUCACUCAAGCACUCCAGUCAAUAUUCAAAGGAAAUUUCACCGAGCUUUCUCUGCAAGGUUGAGAGAAAUUCUCUACAUGUAAUUUUGUGAAUUUUCUCUGGAUGUGGCGGCGGAGGAAGAGGAGGAAGAGACUCGUCGUCAUCAUUGACAGCAUUGAGAUCAAUCAAACCACACAUCUUUGUGGGGAAAUUUUCUAGAAGAAAAGAAACUGUGGAAUUGAAAAGAAAUGGAGAAGAGAUUGAAAUUUGUUCAUAUAUACAAAUAUAGAUAUACUGUGAGCAAAUCAAAUUAAAUUUUCUCUGGACUGUGUGAAUUUUCUCUGAAUGUGGGAACUGUGUGAAUUUUCUCUGGUUGUGAUCAUUGUUUGUAAUUUUGUGAAUUUUCUCUGACUGUAUAAAAUUU